RNAcentral lists this ribosomal RNA (434 nucleotides) under uncultured bacterium. Its description in RNAcentral is "bacterial SSU rRNA". It matches the Rfam family "Bacterial small subunit ribosomal RNA", at positions 29 to 507 of the family's 1533-position model. The record is from RNAcentral.
AACGAACGCUGGCGGCAUGCCUAACACAUGCAAGUCGAACGAAGCCUUCGGGCUUAGUGGCGCACGGGUGCGUAACGCGUGGGAAUCUGCCCCUUGGUUCGGAACAACAGUUAGAAAUGACUGCUAAUACCGGAUAACGACGAAAGUCCAAAGAUUUAUCGCCGAGGGAUGAGCCCGCGUAAGAUUAGGUAGUUUGGUGGGGUAAUGGCCUACCAAGCCGACGAUCUUUAGCUGGUCUGAGAGGAUGAUCAGCCACACUGGGACUGAGACACGGCCCAGACUCCUACGGGAGGCAGCAGUGGGGAAUAUUGGACAAUGGGCGAAAGCCUGAUCCAGCAAUGCCGCGUGAGUGAUGAAGGCCUUAGGGUUGUAAAGCUCUUUUACCAGGGAUGAUAAUGACAGUACCUGGAGAAUAAGCUCCGGCUAACUCCGUG